UAGAAGACAAAACUGUAAGUACGAUAUCCAUGUUUCUUUUAUAACAAUAAAUCAAACUUUUCAAUAGUUCAAACUCAGUCUUUUAAUAACUUUCACUUCAACUCCUAUUGUAAAUUCAGAUAUAAAGCAAGCACCAUACAAUACCGCAAUGAUCACCAUUAAAGAUUUAAUAUGAUAGUAUAAUGAUAAAAUUAUAUUUUCAUUAGGAAAGGACUGAGUAGACUCAAUUUCUUUUUUUUUUUUCUCGUUGUUAAUAUAUUGAUAUUUUUUAUAUAUUUUCAACAUAAAAAACAUCAAACUACUUCAAAAAAUUCAAAAGAUAUGAAAAUAUUUCGUCAUUGUACAUACACACGGUCAUGUGGAUCAUUGUUCGUUAGUCAUUUUGUCUAUGACGUUUCAAAAGGAUAAAUGGUGGAGUAAUCUCGAACUUAAACAGAUUCAAAUUACCUGUAUUUUUUUAAUUCGUCUUACACAUAACCAUUCAGCUCUAAGAGAAAAAACACACCAUUCUAACAACAACAACAAAAUCGACAAAUGAGUCCAAGGAUCUAAAAUUACCUUUGGCAUUACGUCAUCUAUUUAAGUCUAGGAUUACCAUAGUUUUAUGUUUCCAAUAAAUGACGUAAAUCCUUAUUGCGCAGAAUCCAUUUUUGGUAUCUUUCGACUUGUAUAAAACGCAAAUCAAUCCUAAUAUAUUUAUCGUUGAAUCUGCAAAGAUCAUAACUGUAAGCUUAACAUUUUUUAACAAUUAUAACGCUAUAUCUAUAAUGUAAACAAGUCCUACUUAUCGUAGUUAUUCUGUACAAGUUAUUGUUCAUUCAAGAUAAAUUCUUUUUGACAAAACAUGUUUUUGAAUACAAAAAAAAUACUAAAUAUUCUUUAAAAGAUUAUUCAAAUACAUUAACUUAUUUUUUGUAACAUUUUUAUAUAUACUGUGUAUUUAAGGUUAUUGGAAAAUUGUUUCAAGUUUUUGAUUGUUAUGAUUUCGUUUUGUUUCAGUGCAAGACAAGCAAUGACCCUCUCAAUGAUCCGGUUAGCCGGAUUUAGAAUCAUUAAAAAUGGUAAAGCGAAAUUAUUUCAUUUGUUAUAAUCCAAAACAACCAUCCUUGUAUUUAACGGACGAACAUUUUGUCUGUAGAUAUUUAUUCAUGUCUACUGCAAUUUAGGCAACACACUUAACCUUAGUUUAAAUGAUUGGCUUUACACACAUAUGUCGGAUUAAGUAUAUUUAUAAUUUUGAUAAAAUUUAUGUUUGAUCAUUGCAAGAUUAGUGCAGUUAAUCAUAAACAAAAGUUACCUUUUUUCCUGCAUAUUAAAAAAAAAAAAAAUUAUGAAAAUAUUUUAAAGUUUCCUUUAUAUUGUCUCUUCUUUACUAUAUUUAAGCUUUCUUUCAACAAUUAUUGCAUUGAAUUCAUUUUUAGGAACGAUUGGGCGAAUAUCAGAGAGGAGUAUAAAUAAACAUCAGUUGCCAGGUACAGUUAUUUUCCCUCUUAAUAAUACUUCCGAGAUUUGUUGCUGAACUUAUUUGAAAGUUAAGGGUUAGCAAUUUUUAUGCUUCCACAGUAGGAUUUCGUCUCAAAAUUGGUUGAUCAAUUCUUCUUGUCAGAUAUUGAUGUACAUCGAAUCGGAAGAUUGCACAUCAUAUUGGUUACACACAAACAUUCAUUGGUAUCCAUCAUCACAUAAAAACAGGCAUAUUAGAAGUCAUGACACUUUGAAUUAUUUUUCUAAUUUGUUUUACCAAGAAGUUUAAACAUAGUGGAUAAGUUGAUUUAGUGUAACAAAGAUUCGGAGGUCAUUUAGUACGAUAACAUUUAGUACUAUAACAUGUUUCAAAUUUAUUUGCACCUACAUGAAUAUAUUAAAACAUUAAUGUAACUAUAAGGGAUGGUAUACAACAACAAAUGAUGUUUAAUAGUGUACUUAGUAUAUAUCGACACAUACACCAGGCAAAUAUUGAUACCUACACAGAGAAAUAUAUCACAGCAAAAGAGGGUUGAAAUAUACUCAUAAGUCGAAUAUAGGCUAAAAAAGACAAAGUCAAGGAGAUAAACAAAACCACAUAAAACACAACAUAGACAACUAAUGACAAAUCAACACGAACCCCAACAAAAUUUGAAGGGAUCUCAGGUGUUCCAAAAAGGUAGGCUCGUUGUGUUUAUUUUUAGAAUAAAUCUUUUAAUAUUUGGGAAAAUAUUUAAGUUGUUCCAAUCUAUUCCAAAUGACUUAAUAAAUAUUACACCAAAAAUUAGAUAAUAAAAUGUACAAGUGAACGUUUGCGUCAUAAAUAUUCAAUGUCAGUAUACCCAAUUUGCAUGUAAGUGUAAGAGCAAAUACUUCUCGGUUUUUGAAGACAAGAUAAUGAGUCCGGGUGAGGUGACAUGUUUUCCUGUGUUCUUUUACCACAUUGAAAUAAAUACAGAUUUUGUUACUUUCCAACUUGCAAAAAUGACUAAUUCGUCAAUUCUUAUGAUGCUCAUUUCUGUUGAUGUUGCCAUUGAGUACUUUAUUAUACUAAAAUACAGAAAUCAAAAUAUAUUGAUAAUUGUAUGAAACAUCAUUUUAGAAAUAUGAUAUAUUACCAUAAUGAAUACAUGAUUUUACUGCCAGUAUUAAAGCUGCUACUAAUAUUAUAUUUGAGAGCAACCUAUUCAAAAUUUAUCUCAUCAUAAUAUAAGAAAAUGGCAAACACAUCGCCAAAGAAAUCAGAGUGAAACUACAUAUCAUAUAAAUUUAAGUUAUUUUUCUUUUUUGUGUCAUUUGUAGGUGGCAGACAAUUUACAUCUGCAAUGCGUGACAAGGCAUCCGAGCUUGGAUCGUUUGUCUUUGAUAGUCAUGUGUGGUGUGCCUUUUUAUCGUCUGGUGCGGGAUGGUUCGGCUUGAGAAAAUUUGUAUUAAAACUGUA
This 2905-nucleotide long non-coding RNA is filed under the name Mytilus galloprovincialis (Mediterranean mussel). The record is from RNAcentral. Lineage: Eukaryota; Metazoa; Mollusca; Bivalvia; Mytilida; Mytilidae.